Long non-coding RNA from Hippopotamus amphibius kiboko, 361 nucleotides. RefSeq lists it as uncharacterized. Lineage: Eukaryota; Metazoa; Chordata; Mammalia; Artiodactyla; Hippopotamidae. The transcript has 3 exons. The record is from RefSeq and is a predicted model, not a curated record.
GUAAAUUCAGACACAAAUACAUAGAGAGGGAAACAUCAUGUGAAGAUGGGAGCAGAGAUUGGAGCAAUGCAUCAAGAAGCCAAAGAAUACCAAGGAUUGCCAGCAACCACCGGAAACUAGGAGGAGAAUUGUGACAAGCGAUCAGUUUGAGCAAGCAGAUGCCAGGAGUGGACUGAGCAGGGACUUCCUAGAUGGUGCAGUGGUUAAGAAUCCACCGGCCAAUACAGGGGACACAUGUUCAAUCCCCGCUCCAGGAAGAUCCCACAUGCUGCAGAGCAACGAAGUCUGCGCACCACAACUAUUGAACCUGCACUUUAGAGCCUGUGAGCCACAACUAUUGAGCCUAUGUACCACAACUACU